RNAcentral lists this ribosomal RNA (303 nucleotides) under uncultured bacterium. RNAcentral describes it as "partial 16S ribosomal RNA". It matches the Rfam family "Bacterial small subunit ribosomal RNA", at positions 507 to 807 of the family's 1533-position model. The record is from RNAcentral.
AGCAGUCGCCGCGGUAAUACGGAGGGUGCAAGCGUUAAUCGGAAUUACUGGGCGUAAAGCGCACGCAGGCGGUUUGUUAAGUCAGAUGUGAAAUCCCCGAGCUUAACUUGGGAACUGCAUUUGAAACUGGCAAGCUAGAGUCUUGUAGAGGGGGGUAGAAUUCCAGGUGUAGCGGUGAAAUGCGUAGAGAUCUGGAGGAAUACCGGUGGCGAAGGCGGCCCCCUGGACAAGGACUGACGCUCAGGUGCGAAAGCGUGGGGAGCAAACAGGAUUAGAUACCCCUGUAGUCCCUGUCUCUUAUAC